This is a non-coding RNA of Misgurnus anguillicaudatus (oriental weatherfish), 2839 nucleotides long. Lineage: Eukaryota; Metazoa; Chordata; Actinopteri; Cypriniformes; Cobitidae. The record is from RefSeq and is a predicted model, not a curated record.
AUUUGUUGUGACAAUCAAAUUUACAUUCAAAAUAGUUACAAAUCCUCUCAUUUAAUUUUUGUACUCUAAAUGCAACUGGAAAUACUAACAAGUCAACAGACAGAAUAUUGUCAUUUGUGCAAAUGUCUUUCAUACUACGAUGUUGGCAACCUGAAUGUUCAAAAUGAAGACAAACUAGCACAUUACUUUUUUUCCCUGUGAUAUUGAGCAAGCAACAUAACUUUCUGUUUUCAUCAUAAGUUUCUGUUUCCUAGUCAAAGCACUGCCCACAAAACAGAAAUGUCCGAGGGUGAUCUGACCAUCGCUUGAAAAAGGAGUGACAAAAACCCUCUAUAAUAGAAGAGAACCUCAAGAUUUCAACAUUUUCUGAAGGGAGUUGCAAACAGAUGUAGAAAACUGCUUUUCAAAUUUUCCACAUUUAUCACAGUUAUUUUAAGAUGUUGACAUCCAAAGAGUAUAGGCAAGAGUGGGAACAGUUGCAACAUUGCUGAUUUCUCCAAUUUCUCACUUCUGGAAGAAAUCAGCCACAUGUGCCUAUUCCUUACACACAAAACUCAUUUCAAGGUAAAAAAUAUUUUUUAUGAUCAGAGUUUUUGUCACACCGCCUGAACAGUUUGUUCAAGGAAUUCUAAAGUAAUAUAAUUUUAAUCUGUGUUUUCUCAAGUCUCAAUUUAUUUAUAAAGCACGAUUAAAAACAACUCCAGUUGACCAAUGUGCUGUACAAUGAUAUAAUGACUAAUUAAAAAAAAAACACAAAUAUACAAACCACAUCAACAUCAGACAACAAACAUCAUCACGAGUCAUAGGCCUUAGUAAAAAAGUAUGUUUUUAACUUUGAUUUAAAAAUAUGUAAUGUUGAUGAUAUUCUUAUAUGAAGCGGUAACGUGUUCCAAAGUUUAGGUGCGGCUAUGGCAAAAGCUCGAUCGCCCCUAGAUUUUAAUUUGGACUUUGGAACAGUUAACAGAUUCUGGUUGGCAGACCGAAGAGUUCUUUCUGGACGAUAUUCACACAACAGAUCCGAGAGGUAGAGGGGAGCGAGUCCAUUUAACGAUUUAAAAACGAGAAAAGCACUUUAAAUUCAAUUCUACACUGUACCGGAAGCCAAUGUAAAGACAUUAGCACAGGAGAAAUAUGUUCGUAUUUAUGAACACCGGUUAACAGACGCGCAGCGGAAUUUUGGACCGUUUGUAAUCUCGCUAUUAACGAGCUAUUUAUUCCCAAAUACAGCGCAUUACAAUAAUCGAUUCUGGACGAAAUAAAAGCGUGAGUUGCAUCUUAAUUGGUAAAAACUCGCUUUUACAACUGCAUUUAUAUCACAUUUAAGUGCACUAUCGAAGAAUACACCUAAGUUUUUUACACUUGAUUUGACCGAAGAAGAUAAAAUACCAGAAUUUCCAAAAUAAUUCUCCAGAACAUCAGGCGAGCCAAACACAAUGGUCUCCAUUUUCUUCUCAUUCAGAUUUGGCUACGGAAGCUUCUAAUUGGAAUAGCUAUCAUGUGUCUAAGAUAUUCUGUUAAGUUUGCAUAGCAAGUUUUAUCAUGGCUGUCAGUGUAGGGACAGUUGCAACAGCAUGUCAUCAUAACGUAACAAAACAGUAAUAUUAUGCAUUAAUAAAGAAUCCUUUCAAAUAGUCCAGUAUUUAAACUAAAUAGAUUUUUAAUCAUUAGAUUAGGCCAUAAUGUAGCCCACUUGUUUUGUAUUUUUAGUAUCUCACUAGAGAGAGCAUGUGACAGAUGGGGUGUCCCUCUACCUCUUCUCAGAUCAGCAGCAAAUAUAAUAAAUAAAUGUUGCAACUGUCCGUAUAGCUAGCCGUGUAACAAACAUGUAGAAAUAUCAAAUGAACUAAUCUCAAAUGACUUUCUGUGUGACACUGUACUGUAUAUUCUUUAUAUUUGAAUAGACAUAGUCAAAUGUUGCAACUGACCCCACAAUAGGGGCAGUUGCAACAUUUGACUAUGUCUAUUCAAAUAUAAAUUUUACAAAAAAUAUAAUAUAUACACACGUUAUAACAGUGUGGUUGAGUAGCUGCAGAUGUGUAUAUUGUAUAAAAAUCUUGGUUUUCUAAUGCAACAGUCUCUGAGAAACUUAAGGAAAUGCAAAAAGUGUUGCAACCGUCCCCACUCUCCCGCCCAGCUGGUGCAACCGGCCCCAGAACAAAAUUUAAACUGCAACAAGACGUCGUCUGUCUGAGGUAAAGACACAAAAUCUAAAGAAAAUAAAGUCUGCAGCAGUCUGCCUUGAUGCGUUCAUUACACAAUGACGAGCAGCAUUCAAUGCAGAUCAAGAUGGUUUCAGUACAGUGUCACACAGAAAGCCAUUUGAGUUUAGUUCAUUUGAUAUUUCUGCACGUUGUUACAUGGCUAUUUGCUAUACGAGUAAAUAUAUAGAGUGAACAUUUUUAUUUAAUAUCUUUUAUUAGCUUAUCCGUAAGAAAAGUAAACCUUCUGUGAGGGAUAAACCUAAUGUAUGUAGCUAAGCCAAGACGGGUUAAAACAAGUUCAAAGUUCAAACAAGAUGAACAUUCAGUGCAUUCAUUUGUAAAUUAAAAUUCAUAUAUGUGAUUAAUUAUGCAUAUUUGAACUGUAUUUAUUCAAAUGUAUUAAACGGUGCCAGUUAAGAUGACUCGCAGUACCCGGAUGAGGCUGUUAUUUUUACUUCAAAACAUUAUAACAAAAAAAAAAAAACGUGCAUAGGUUUUCACCUUGUAUGCACGACUUUUAAUAUUGUAAAUAGUAAUAUUGGAGUAAAGCUUGUUUUUAUGUUAAAAGAAUAACUUAAUUUAGUUCUGACUUAAUUAGUUGUACACAUUGCUGAAAUCAGCAACAUUUAAUUACAAGA